AAACCGUUUAGGGGUAAACCUGAGAAACCCGAAAGGUCGAAGGGAGAAAUUCAUUCGCGUUUCGACGUCGGCGUCGGAGGGUCGUGUGACGGAAAGCGUUCGCGUUUUCCGCACCUUCCGUCCUUCGAACUGACGGCGAACGCGUGCACUUUUCUCCUGGUAGGACGUCGCGAUCCGUUGGGCGUCGGUCUAAGGCUCGCGGUGGAGCCCGUUCGUCAUCGUACGAACGGACCCGCGUGUCCCGGCCGACUCGCUCGACGGUAUACUGAAGGUUCGGGGCCGCUCUUGGAGCGUCCGACUCGCGGCAAGCGCGCCAGAUGCGUCGGUAACCGGACUUGGUGCCGAUUCCGACCCCUGGUGACUGUUGGCCGUGAAGUUCUCGGACAGACCUCGCGACCGAUCUGCGGCGCUAUAGCUUUGGGUACUUUCAGGA
Molecule: ribosomal RNA, 433 nt
Filed under: Pachycotes peregrinus
Lineage: Eukaryota; Metazoa; Arthropoda; Insecta; Coleoptera; Curculionidae
Description: eukaryotic LSU rRNA
Source: RNAcentral